AGAGUUUGAUCCUGGCUCAGGACGAACGCUGGCGGCGCGCCUAACACAUGCAAGUCGAACGAGCGAGAGAGAGCUUGCUUUCUUGAGCGAGUGGCGAACGGGUGAGUAACGCGUGAGGAACCUGCCUCAAAGAGGGGGACAACAGUUGGAAACGACUGCUAAUACCGCAUAAGCCCACGGCUCGGCAUCGAGCAGAGGGAAAAGGAGCAAUCCGCUUUGAGAUGGCCUCGCGUCCGAUUAGCUAGUUGGUGAGGUAACGGCCCACCAAGGCGACGAUCGGUAGCCGGACUGAGAGGUUGAACGGCCACAUUGGGACUGAGACACGGCCCAGACUCCUACGGGAGGCAGCAGUGGGGAAUAUUGCACAAUGGGGGAAACCCUGAUGCAGCGACGCCGCGUGGAGGAAGAAGGUCUUCGGAUUGUAAACUCCUGUUGUUGAGGAAGAUAAUGACGGUACUCAACAAGGAAGUGACGGCUAACUACGUGCCAGCAGCCGCGGUAAAACGUAGGUCACAAGCGUUGUCCGGAAUUACUGGGUGUAAAGGGAGCGCAGGCGGGAAGACAAGUUGGAAGUGAAAGCCAUGGGCUCAACCCAUGAACUGCUUUCAAAACUGUUUUUCUUGAGUAGUGCAGAGGUAGGCGGAAUUCCCGGUGUAGCGGUGGAAUGCGUAGAUAUCGGGAGGAACACCAGUGGCGAAGGCGGCCUACUGGGCACCAACUGACGCUGAGGCUCGAAAGUGUGGGUAGCAAACAGGAUUAGAUACCCUGGUAGUCCACACUGUAAACGAUGAUUACUAGGUGUUGGAGGAUUGACCCCUUCAGUGCCGCAGUUAACACAAUAAGUAAUCCACCUGGGGAGUACGACCGCAAGGUUGAAACUCAAAGGAAUUGACGGGGGCCCGCACAAGCAGUGGAGUAUGUGGUUUAAUUCGACGCAACGCGAAGAACCUUACCAAGUCUUGACAUCCUGCGACGCACAUAGAAAUAUGUGUUUCCUUCGGGACGCAGAGACAGGUGGUGCAUGGUUGUCGUCAGCUCGUGUCGUGAGAUGUUGGGUUAAGUCCCGCAACGAGCGCAACCCUUAUGGUCAGUUACUACGCAAGAGGACUCUGGCCAGACUGCCGUUGACAAAACGGAGGAAGGUGGGGAUGACGUCAAAUCAUCAUGCCCUUUAUGACUUGGGCUACACACGUACUACAAUGGCGUUAAACAAAGAGAAGCAAGACCGCGAGGU
This 1234-nucleotide ribosomal RNA is filed under the name metagenome. RNAcentral's name for it is "bacterial SSU rRNA". It matches the Rfam family "Bacterial small subunit ribosomal RNA", at positions 8 to 1263 of the family's 1533-position model. The record is from RNAcentral.